CCACCACGAAGGAAGAUUAGAUUGUGAUGAUGAUGAUGAUGAUGAUGUCCAGAUAACAGCUUGGAAAGAAAGUGACUUGAUGCUGGAGAGUCUAAGUGAUGAGGAGACUCAUCCAGUUUGUCCUGAGGAUGGGCUGUUUUUGUGAGGUUCAC
Non-coding RNA from Chlorocebus sabaeus (green monkey), 152 nucleotides. NCBI's taxonomy places the organism in Eukaryota, Metazoa, Chordata, Mammalia, Primates, Cercopithecidae. The record is from RefSeq and is a predicted model, not a curated record.